This 417-nucleotide ribosomal RNA is filed under the name uncultured bacterium. Its description in RNAcentral is "bacterial SSU rRNA". It matches the Rfam family "Bacterial small subunit ribosomal RNA", at positions 29 to 490 of the family's 1533-position model. The record is from RNAcentral.
AACGAACGCUGGCGGCAUGCCUAACACAUGCAAGUCGAACGAGACCUUCGGGUCUAGUGGCGCACGGGUGCGUAACGCGUGGGAAUCUGCCCUUGGGUUCGGAAUAACAGUUAGAAAUGACUGCUAAUACCGGAUAAUGUCUUCGGACCAAAGAUUUAUCGCCCAGGGAUGAGCCCGCGUAGGAUUAGCUAGUUGGUGAGGUAAAGGCUCACCAAGGCGACGAUCCUUAGCUGGUCUGAGAGGAUGAUCAGCCACACUGGGACUGAGACACGGCCCAGACUCCUACGGGAGGCAGCAGUGGGGAAUAUUGGACAAUGGGCGAAAGCCUGAUCCAGCAAUGCCGCGUGAGUGAUGAAGGCCUUAGGGUUGUAAAGCUCUUUUACCCGGGUAUGAUAAUGACAGUACCGGGAGAAUAAG